RNAcentral lists this ribosomal RNA (468 nucleotides) under uncultured bacterium. RNAcentral's name for it is "partial 16S ribosomal RNA". It matches the Rfam family "Bacterial small subunit ribosomal RNA", at positions 28 to 507 of the family's 1533-position model. The record is from RNAcentral.
GACGAACGCUGGCGGCAUGCUUAACACAUGCAAGUCGAACGGAAAGGCCCUGCUUUUGUGGGGUGCUCGAGUGGCGAACGGGUGAGUAACACGUGAGUAACCUGCCCUUGACUUUGGGAUAACUUCAGGAAACUGGGGCUAAUACCGGAUAGGAGCUCCUGCUGCAUGGUGGGGGUUGGAAAGUUUCGGCGGUUGGGGAUGGACUCGCGGCUUAUCAGCUUGUUGGUGGGGUAGUGGCUUACCAAGGCUUUGACGGGUAGCCGGCCUGAGAGGGUGACCGGCCACAUUGUGACUGAGAUACGGCCCAGACUCCUACGGGAGGCAGCAGUGGGGAAUAUUGCACAAUGGGCGGAAGCCUGAUGCAGCAACGCCGCGUGCGGGAUGACGGCCUUCGGGUUGUAAACCGCUUUCGCCUGUGACGAAGCGUGAGUGACGGUAAUGGGUAAAGAAGCACCGGCUAACUACGUG